AUGUUCAGCGCCACCCACUUCUCCAGCAUGUCGCGGAGCGAGCUGCGCCAACGUACGCAGGAGAGGGCCAGCUGUGUUGUCGCGCGCAGGCCUGGGCGAGCACCCGCAAUGAGCUGUGCUGGCACGCGCAAGCAUCCGCAAGGCGAGGGCAAGCACCCACAGAGCGCAAGCAUCCGCCACGCGAGCGCGAGCUGCGCCGGCGCGUGCAGACAUGGACGAGCGCCGGCGGAGAGCUGCAGUGACGAGGGUGAGUUGAAGCGGCGCGCGCAGCCAUGGGCGAGCACCGGCGGCGACCUGCAGUUACUCGCUCAGGCGUGGGAAGCUAGGGCGGCGAGUUAG
RNAcentral lists this ribosomal RNA (339 nucleotides) under Triticum aestivum (bread wheat). Its description in RNAcentral is "partial small subunit ribosomal RNA". Lineage: Eukaryota; Viridiplantae; Streptophyta; Magnoliopsida; Poales; Poaceae. The record is from RNAcentral.